AGAGUUUGAUCCUGGCUCAGAAUAAACGUUGGCGGUGCGCCUUAUGCAUGCAAGUCGAACGGUCGAGCACGUAACUUGUUAUGUGCUUGGUAGUGGCGAACGGCUGAGUAACGCGUAAGCAACCUACCUUGGAGUGGGAAAUAACUUGCCGAAAGGCGAGCUAAUGUCCCAUGUGGUAAUUAAGCAAAUGCUUGAUUAUUAAAGCCUUAGGGUGCUCCUAGAGGGACUUGCGUCUGAUUAGCUAGUUGGUAGGGUAAUGGCCUACCAAGGCGAUGAUCAGUAGCUGGUCUGAGAGGAUGGUCAGCCAGAUGGGGACUGGGACACGGCCCCAACUCCUACGGGAGGCAGC
Molecule: ribosomal RNA, 349 nt
Filed under: uncultured bacterium
Lineage: Bacteria
Description: bacterial SSU rRNA
Rfam family: Bacterial small subunit ribosomal RNA
Source: RNAcentral